Molecule: microRNA precursor, 59 nt
Filed under: Capitella teleta
Lineage: Eukaryota; Metazoa; Annelida; Polychaeta; Capitellidae
Description: Cte-Mir-1995_pre stem-loop
Source: RNAcentral
GUACAUCUCGCAUUGUGACCAUCUGUUGUUAACGCAUGGUUUCAAUGGGAUAUGUUGAU